GUGCACCUAGCUCAGGAAGCCUUCCUUUCUAGUCUCUACAGCUGUUUCCCUCUUUUCCCAUCUCAUUCUUCCCUCUUCAUUUCUGGCCUAUCUUUUAACAUCUCCAUCCCUUUGAUGCCUCAUCCAUCUCCUCUUCACCGUCUUGUCUUUGCCUGUUCCCUUUUCUGCUUCUCUGCUCCUCUUAAGGCUGGGUUUUCCUCCUGCGUCUCCUCUGUGCGCCUGUGAGUGUCCCCUGUCUGCUCAUCCUCUCUCCCUCUGUCCACCUGUUUCUCUUUCUUCCAGCGUUUCUCCAUCUCACGCGCUGCCUCUGUCAUUUUCUCUCUUUCUUCGUCUUUCUCUCUCUCUCAUUGUUCUGAGACAUAGCAGUGCCUGGCCCAGCGGGGACAACAUGUUUCACAGACAAAUCAUCCAACAAAAGAGAGGAGGAACGUGCUUCAGCUGGCUGUCCCCAUGCCUUCUGCUCCCGCUUCUGGAAGGGAAGACAGGGCAGGGACCAUGUCCAGCUGCAGAAAAUCCCAGUGUUUUUCUGUGGCAUUGCCUGGUAAAGGCUGAACGUGGCUUUCGUGAGAGCUAAUCUGCCUGCCCAACCAGAUUGUGCUGUGGCUAAAAUUGCUGUGAGCUCGACAGUGCCUGAAGACUGGAGAAAACUGAGCCAUGUCUUGGAUGCUCUUGCGGGGCCUAGGGGAGUGCCAGGCCAGAAGGAGAACUGCCUGUGGACUCUCAGUAGGAAAGCAGCUAACGAGGUGAUGAGUGAGUGUCGCCUGGAAGUCUGGGGGCCAUUCCAUGUGGGUCACAUCGCCUGACCAGAGGGUUGGGUGCCUGGACAGGGCUGAGCUUGGGACUCCUUCCAGGGCCUGGCCUCAGCUGCUGGGCCUGCCGAGCAUGCCCCACAAGCACCCACGCACACAUACAAGUAUGGAGGCAGAGUGGAAGUUUGACUUUUGCAGAUCUCGUACAGCCUGGAGUAGAGAAGAGAAUUGGGAACUCUCAAUGUUGUGUGACCCUAGGCAAGUCCCUUCCCUGCCUUGUGCCUCAGUUUCCCUUUACAUACCAUGAGGAUGUUCCCAGUGUUGGUGUUUUAAUGCCUGCAGACAAGCUAAGCUCAUCAUCUGGUUCCCGGAAGAGAUCCUCCUUUUGUGGAAAGGCCACAGCCACUCUGCCACCCUGAGGCUCCCACUCCUCCUUCUCUGGAACCCUCUCCCUUGCCUGUAGGUCACGGGAAUGUCAAGAGCACCCAGGGAAGUGCCUGCUGCCAGUCAUCACUCACUGAUUAUGUGACAGCAGAGGAGCCAAGAAGCUGCUGGGAAUCGAGACACCCCCCCAUUCAGUCCCCACCAUCUCUGUCUUCAUGAGGUUCCCUGGGAGAAGCUCCUAUGUCUGGGAAUGGAAAUGUCUCCACCUGGAUAGGGACAAACAGGAGCUGGGGGCUGCAUCUUAAGACUUCUUGUCCCAUUAGUGCUGACCUCUGGAGACGGCUCCUGAAUUGUGCCCACUCCCCCACCUCCUCACCACACACAUGCUCUGGGCCGUGCGAGGCUCAGCUUGUCACGGACAAGCUAAAAUGAGGUGGCCUGAAUGCCCCUUAUCAUAGACAGCUUAUCUCCUGUGGUCACUCACCUGACAGACUCCAGAGAGCCACUCAGCGGGCCUCUCCCAGCCGCCUGCUUCUCAGCUCUGACUCUCCCUUGCCUUAAGGGGACACUGGAUUCCAGUGACCCUCCUAUUGGUCAGAGUUGGGCUGAGCACAGAGAAGGGGUAGAAUGCUCCUGGGAACUCGGAAAGCUCUGGGAUGCCAGCUUUUCCCACAUGUUCUCACUCACCCCUCUGUAAUACAGAUUCUGCAGCCCUGCCCCCCACACACACACUCCUACACCUCUGCUCUCAAAGUGAAGAAGUAGGCUAAUAUCUGUGGUACAUUUAUUUACCUACUCCCUGAGACUGCAGCUCCCUUAGUCAGUGUUGUGUCCUCCACUCAGGCUGGGGCUCCCUGAGGAUGGGGCUGUGUCUCCCCUCAGACUGGGGUUCCCCAAGGACAGGGCUGUGUCUCUCCUUAGGCUGGGGUCCCUGAGGGUGGGGCUGUGUCUCCCUGCAGAUUGGGGCUCCCUGAGGAUGGGGCUGUGUCUCCCUGAAGACUGGGGCUCCCUGAGGACAGGGCUGUGUCUCCCCUCAGGCUGGGGCUCCUUGAGGAUGGGACACUUUAAAGAAGAGAAAUUGACAGGUUGACCCUGGGGGAUCUUUGGGUCAAUAAAACAUUCUAUAGACCCUCAGUGGUCAGACUAGGA
This 2282-nucleotide long non-coding RNA is filed under the name Homo sapiens (human). RNAcentral's name for it is "long independently transcribed non-coding RNA 1512 (LINC01512)". Lineage: Eukaryota; Metazoa; Chordata; Mammalia; Primates; Hominidae. The record is from RNAcentral.